This 387-nucleotide ribosomal RNA is filed under the name uncultured eukaryote. Its description in RNAcentral is "SSU rRNA". It matches the Rfam family "Eukaryotic small subunit ribosomal RNA", at positions 587 to 972 of the family's 1831-position model. The record is from RNAcentral.
AGCUCCAAUAGCGUAUAUUAAUGUUGUUGCAGUUAAAAAGCUCGUAGUUGAAUUUCUGGAUCUAAUUUCUGGUCCGAGGCCUUGUGUCUUGUGUACUUUGAUUCUAUUAGAUCCAUCUUAGUAGUGAAUGUUACUGGCAUUAAGUUAUCGGUAGCAGGAGCUGCUUCUUUUACUGUGAAUAAAAUAGAGUGUUCAAAGCAGGCAUUACGCCUUGAAUACUUCAGCAUGGAAUAAAAAAAUAGGACUUUGGUGCUAUUUUAUUGGUUUGCACACCAAGUAAUGAUUAAUAGGGAUAGUUGGGGGUAUUCAUAUUUGAUUGUCAGAGGUGAAAUUCUUGGAUUUAUGAAAGAUGAACUUAUGCGAAAGCAUUUACCAAGGAUGUUUUCA